GUGAAUUUGGUAUUCUACGCGAUGUCUUGGUACGAGCUGACACUAAGGCACGCGGUGAAUACCAAGGUCC
This 70-nucleotide microRNA precursor is filed under the name Echinococcus multilocularis. RNAcentral's name for it is "microRNA emu-mir-124b precursor". Its record names the gene emu-mir-124b. The record is from miRBase by way of RNAcentral. Lineage: Eukaryota; Metazoa; Platyhelminthes; Cestoda; Cyclophyllidea; Taeniidae.